GUUGCCAUCAGGUAAUGCUGGGGACGUCUAAAGGAACUGCCUACGCAAGUAGUGAGGAAGGCGGGGAUGACGUCAAAUCAGCACGGCCCUUACGUCCAGGACUACACACGUGCUACAAUGGCCGAUACAGAGGGCAGCUACCUGGUGACAGGAUGCAAAUCUCCAAAGUCGGUCUCAGUUCGGAUCGGAGUCUGCAACCCGACUCCGUGAAGUUGGAUUCGCUAGUAAUCGCGCAUCAGCCAUGGCGCGGUGAAUACGUUCCCGGGCCUU
This 270-nucleotide ribosomal RNA is filed under the name uncultured Sphingobacteriales bacterium. Its description in RNAcentral is "partial 16S ribosomal RNA". It matches the Rfam family "Bacterial small subunit ribosomal RNA", at positions 1114 to 1382 of the family's 1533-position model. Lineage: Bacteria; Pseudomonadati; Bacteroidota; Sphingobacteriia; Sphingobacteriales. The record is from RNAcentral.